RNAcentral lists this long non-coding RNA (737 nucleotides) under Vigna radiata. RNAcentral describes it as "long non-coding RNA (VRAD_LNC018274)". Lineage: Eukaryota; Viridiplantae; Streptophyta; Magnoliopsida; Fabales; Fabaceae. The record is from RNAcentral.
UGAUGAAAAGGGUACAUGAUUUGAAGAAUUGAAGGUUGUAACCAGAAAGAAUAUGGUAGGAACUGAUGAUGAAUAAUUUGGGAUUGUGAUGAUGAUUAAGAGUUGAAACAUAUACUUAUGUUCUCUUCUUAGGUGUCUUUGAAUCCUAGAAAAACCAUGAUUCUUCUAGCCAAGCCAAGCUUUAACCUUCAAAAGACCUUUUGACUUUACCAAACGUGUGUGGAAUGUAUGAAUUAGAUGAUGUGCAAAAGUUGAUGAAGUUCUUAAACAAANUUGUUACAGGUGAGGACAAACACUGGAAGUGAGAGAUCUUAAUAUCUGGUCUGGUUGUUCAUACUCAAUGCAUAAGUGAACUUUUAUUGAUGAAUGCACCAUGUCAUGUCUGUUCAAGUCUUUGGGAAUUCAUAUAAUUUUUCUGAUAAGCACAUUCAUUUCAUCAAAAUGUCAAAUGUCUGUUAUGUGUUGUUCAUUUAUUUUCUGUGAUUUCCUGAGGACAUGAAAUAAUUCAAGUUUGGGGGAGUUGAUAAGUGUAAAAAUGAGUUAUUUUUACACUUAUAAAUGAUCUCAAUUUUGUAAUUAUUCAUGUUAUUACUCAGUGAAAUGUUGUAAUAGGAAGUAGAUUGUUACGUAAAUUAUUGUGCAGGAAAAGAUGUAUAAACGGGAAUAUGUCAACUAAUUCUCGCAGAGCGUAAGCCAAAUUCGCAGAGCCAGAAAAAAUAGAUUCGCACAGCGCACCA